Molecule: ribosomal RNA, 567 nt
Filed under: uncultured fungus
Lineage: Eukaryota; Fungi
Description: eukaryotic LSU rRNA
Rfam family: 5.8S ribosomal RNA (bases 155-308)
Source: RNAcentral
AAGUCGUAACAAGGUUUCCGUAGGUGAACCUGCGGAAGGAUCAUUAGUGAACGCCCUCACGGGCUUAUAACUACUCCAAACCUCUGUGAACCGUGCCCUUCGGGGCUAUUUUACAAACAUGGUGUAAUGAACGUCAUAUAUCAUAACAAAAAAAAACUUUCAACAACGGAUCUCUUGGCUCUCGCAUCGAUGAAGAACGCAGCGAAAUGUGAUAAGUAAUGUGAAUUGCAGAAUUCAGUGAAUCAUCGAAUCUUUGAACGCACCUUGUGCUCUCUGGUAUUCCGGAGAGCACGCCUGUUUGAGUGUCAUGAACUCUUCAACCCACCGGUUCCUUGUUGGACCGAGUUGGUGUUUGGUUUUUGAGUGUUUUGCUAUGUCUGUUCAUAGCUCGCUCGUAAUACAUUAGCAUCUCAAUUUCGAAAUUUCGGACUGACUCAGCGUAAUAGACUAUUCGUUGAGGACACCUUUACUGGUGGCCGAAGUUAUGAUAACAGUAGACGCUUCUAAUCCUACUAGUCGUUUUAUUGAUUAGACCUCAAAUCAGGCAGGACUACCCGCUGAACUUAA